CCUACGGGAGGCAGCAGUGAGGAAUAUUGGUCAAUGGACGCAAGUCUGAACCAGCCAUGCCGCGUGCAGGAAGACGGCUCUAUGAGUUGUAAACUGCUUUUGUACGAGGGUAAACGCAGAUACGCGUAUCUGUCUGAAAGUAUCGUACGAAUAAGGAUCGGCUAACUCCGUGCCAGCAGCCGCGGUAAUACGGAGGAUUCAAGCGUUAUCCGGAUUUAUUGGGUUUAAAGGGUGCGUAGGCGGUCGGAUAAGUUAGAGGUGAAAUCCCGAGGCUCAACUUCGGAAUUGCCUCUGAUACUGUUCGACUAGAGAGUAGUUGCGGUAGACGGAAGGUAUGGUGUAGCGGUGAAAUGCUUAGAGAUCAUACAGAACACCGAUUGCGAAGGCAGCUUACCAAGCUACUUCUGACGUUGAGGCACGAAAGCGUGGGGAGCAAACAGGAUUAGAUACCCGUGUAGUC
Molecule: ribosomal RNA, 460 nt
Filed under: uncultured bacterium
Lineage: Bacteria
Description: partial 16S ribosomal RNA
Rfam family: Bacterial small subunit ribosomal RNA
Source: RNAcentral